This 935-nucleotide ribosomal RNA is filed under the name Cephaleuros cf. parasiticus QXS23. RNAcentral's name for it is "SSU rRNA". It matches the Rfam family "Eukaryotic small subunit ribosomal RNA", at positions 34 to 977 of the family's 1831-position model. Lineage: Eukaryota; Viridiplantae; Chlorophyta; Ulvophyceae; Trentepohliales; Trentepohliaceae. The record is from RNAcentral.
AUCUGUCAAGAUUAAGCCAUGCAUGUCUAAGUAUAAGCUUUAUACUGUGAAACUGCGAAUGGCUCAUUAAAUCAGUUAUAGUUUAUUUGAUGGUGUUUCUUACUCGGAUAACCGUAGGAAAACUAGAGCUAAUACGUGCGUAAAUCCCGACUUCGGAAGGGACGUAUUUAUUAGAUAAGAGGCCGACCGGGCUCGUCCCGACCUUCGGUGAAUCAUGAUAACUUCACGAAUCGCAUGGUCCUGAACCGGCGAUGUUUCAUUCAAAUUUCUGCCCUAUCAACUUUCGACGGUAGGGUAGUGGCCUACCGUGGUGGUAACGGGUGACGGAGGAUUAGGGUUCGAUUCCGGAGAGGGAGCCUGAGAAACGGCUACCACAUCCAAGGAAGGCAGCAGGCGCGCAAAUUACCCAAAUCCCAAUUCGGGGAGGUAGUGACAAGAAAUAACGAUGCUCCGGCCUCUGGUCGGGUAAUCGGAAUGAGAACAAUUUAAAUCCCUUAUCGAGGAUCAAUUGGAGGGCAAGUCUGGUGCCAGCAGCCGCGGUAAUUCCAGCUCCAAUAGCGUAUAUUUAAGUUGCUGCGGUUAAAAAGCUCGUAGUCGGAUUUCGGGUGGCGCCUACCGGUCCGCCUUUGGUGAGUACUGGUAGGUACCUCCUUUCUGCCGAGGACGGGGUUCUGGGCUUAAUUGUCUGGGCCCCGGAGUCGGCGAUGUCACUUUGAGUAAAUUAGGGUGUUCAAAGCAGGCUUAUGCUCUGUAUACACUAGCAUGGGAUGACACGAUAGGACUUCGGUUUAUCUUGUCGGUCUGUAAAUCGGAGUAAUGAUAAAGAGCGACAGUCGGGGGGCAUUCGUAUUUCGGAGUCUGAGGUGUAAAUACCUGAGAUUUACUGACAAACGAACCUUCGAGCAAAAGCAUUUGCGAAGGAUGUUCUCAUUGAA